Symphalangus syndactylus (siamang) is the source of this 728-nucleotide long non-coding RNA. RefSeq lists it as uncharacterized. Lineage: Eukaryota; Metazoa; Chordata; Mammalia; Primates; Hylobatidae. The record is from RefSeq and is a predicted model, not a curated record.
CUUCACUUUUGCCGAGGAAGCGGGGGGCAUUUUCAUCAACUAUAACAUGGAGGACAAUAGUUUUUCACAGAGUUGUGGCAGACAGUAUAAAGAUAAUAUAUUUUGAAGCACCUAGCACAGGGGCCAAUGGCUACCCUAAGGUAAAAUGAUUCAUUCAUGACAGAAAAAAGGAGACUUUGCCAAUAAACUACUCCUAAACUAUUAUAGAAAUGAUGCUUUGAGGAUCCCAUCUUCAUUCUAAACUUAGCAGAGUGGCUUGAAGGGUUAAGGACCUGACUAAAAUCCUGUGAAGAGAGGAGGGGUGUCCCCAGCUGUUCACACUGUGCAUAAUCCUGGAAGAAGUUCAUGCACAUCAUAACCUUUCUACUGGUGGAGGAUCUUGUCUUGAUGUUGAUGGCUGCUGACUGAUCAAAGUGGUGGCUGCUGAAAAUUGGAGUGGCUGUGGCAAUUUCCUCAAAUAAGAGAACAAUGAAGUUUACUGCAUUGAUUGACUCUUCCUUUCACAAAAGAUUUCUCUGUAACAUGCGAUACUAUUUGAUAGCAUUUUACCCACAGUAGAAUUUUCAAAAUUGGAGUCAAUUCCCUCAAAUUUUGCCACUGCUCUAUUAACUAAAUUUAUGAAAUAUUUUAAAUCCUUUGUUGUCGAUUCAGUAAUGUUCACAGGAUCUUCACCAGGAAUAGAUUCCAUCUCAAUAAAUUGCUUUCUUUGCUCAUCCAUAAGAAGCAAC